UAACGCGUAGGUAACCUGCCUGGUAGCGGGGGAUAACUAUUGGAAACGAUAGCUAAUACCGCAUAAGAGUAGAUGUUGCAUGACAUUUGCUUAAAAGGUGUAAUUGCAUCACUACCAGAUGGACCUGCGUUGUAUUAGCUAGUUGGUGGGGUAACGGCUCACCAAGGCGACGAUACAUAGCCGACCUAAGAGGGUGAUCGGCCACACUGGGACUGAGACACGGCCCAG
RNAcentral lists this ribosomal RNA (228 nucleotides) under uncultured bacterium. RNAcentral's name for it is "partial 16S ribosomal RNA". It matches the Rfam family "Bacterial small subunit ribosomal RNA", at positions 111 to 334 of the family's 1533-position model. The record is from RNAcentral.